RNAcentral lists this non-coding RNA (30 nucleotides) under Rattus norvegicus (Norway rat). The record is from RNAcentral. Lineage: Eukaryota; Metazoa; Chordata; Mammalia; Rodentia; Muridae.
UCCCAAGCCUUUUACUGCCUCUGGUGUGUU